RNAcentral lists this ribosomal RNA (498 nucleotides) under uncultured bacterium. RNAcentral describes it as "partial 16S ribosomal RNA". It matches the Rfam family "Bacterial small subunit ribosomal RNA", at positions 28 to 523 of the family's 1533-position model. The record is from RNAcentral.
GAUGAACGCUAGCUACAGGCUUAACACAUGCAAGUCGAGGGGUAGCAGGGUAGCAAUACCGCUGACGACCGGCGCACGGGUGAGUAACACGUAUCCAACCUUCCCAUAACUCGGGGAUAGCCUUUCGAAAGAAAGAUUAAUACCCGAUAGUACUUUCAUACGGCAUCUUAAGAACGUUAAAGAUCUAUUGGUUAUGGAUGGGGAUGCGUUCCAUUAGAUAGUUGGUGAGGUCACGGCUCACCAAGUCUUCGAUGGAUAGGGGUUCUGAGAGGAAGGUCCACCACGUUGGUGCUGAGACACGGACCAAACUCCUACGGGAGGCAGCAGUGAGGAAUAUUGGUCAAUGGGCGAGAGCCUGAACCAGCCAAGUAGCGUGAAGGAUGAAGGUCCUAUGGAUUGUAAACUUCUUUUAUAGUAGAAUAAAGUGAACCACGUGUGGUUUUUUGUAUGUAUACUAUGAAUAAGGAUCGGCUAACUCCGUGCCAGCCGCCGCUGUAA